GCAAGUCGAACGGUAACAUGAUCUAGCUUGCUAGACUGAUGACGAGUGGCGAACGGGUGAGGAACGCGUAGGAAUAUACCUUUUAGUGGGGGACAAAUAGGGGAAACUCGAGCUAAUACCGCAUAAGCUCUAUUGCGGAAAGAUGGGGACCUUCGGGCCUGGCGCUAGAAGAUUAGCCUGCGUACGAUUAGCUAGUUGGGGGGGUAAAGGCCCACCAAGGCGACGAUCGUUAGCUGGUCUGAGAGGAUGAUC
This 252-nucleotide ribosomal RNA is filed under the name uncultured bacterium. RNAcentral's name for it is "partial 16S ribosomal RNA". It matches the Rfam family "Bacterial small subunit ribosomal RNA", at positions 57 to 305 of the family's 1533-position model. The record is from RNAcentral.